GACGAACGCUGGCGGCGUGCUUAACACAUGCAAGUCGAACGGAAAGGCCCUGCUUUUGUGGGGUGCUCGAGUGGCGAACGGGUGAGUAACACGUGAGUAACCUGCCCUUGACUUUGGGAUAACUUCAGGAAACUGGGGCUAAUACCGGAUAGGAGCUCCUGCCGCAUGGUGGGGGUUGGAAAGUUUCGGCGGUUGGGGAUGGACUCGCGGCUUAUCAGCUUGUUGGUGGGGUAGUGGCUUACCAAGGCUUUGACGGGUAGCCGGCCUGAGAGGGUGACCGGCCACAUUGGGACGGAGAUGCGGCCCAGACUCCUACGGGAGGCAGCAGUGGGGAAUAUUGCACAAUGGGCGGAAGCCUGAUGCAGCAACGCCGCGUGCGGGAUGACGGCCUUCGGGUUGUAAACCGCUUUCGCCUGUGACGAAGCGUGAGUGACGGUAAUGGGUAAAGAAGCACCGGCUAACUACGUG
Molecule: ribosomal RNA, 468 nt
Filed under: uncultured bacterium
Lineage: Bacteria
Description: partial 16S ribosomal RNA
Rfam family: Bacterial small subunit ribosomal RNA
Source: RNAcentral